Molecule: long non-coding RNA, 898 nt
Filed under: Vigna radiata
Lineage: Eukaryota; Viridiplantae; Streptophyta; Magnoliopsida; Fabales; Fabaceae
Description: long non-coding RNA (VRAD_LNC013115)
Source: RNAcentral
GAAAGUAAGAGGGUGUAUGUUGACCUUUGGUCUUGAUGUAUAAUGUAGGCUCAUUUUUGCUCCUCCUAAAUCCUUUAUAGGUGAAAUAUUGGUCGAUUCUAUUGUAUCAUGAAUGAAGAGCUUGUUUCAGGCAUAUAAAGCUUUCUUCAAUCUAACACUUUGCCUUCUUGGCCUUUAAUCACAAAUCUCAGUGGUUGCUUUAUAUAGAUCUCUUCUUCAAAAGGGUUUCACCCUUUUGCCUCCAAGGCCUUCAUCCUACACCUCUAAAUUUUUCCAAAAUACCUAACUUACCCCGUAAUUAAAUGAUAUGAAUUUUUAAAAAAAUAAAAGUGGUCAAAGAUUCCUUUUUAGCAUUGUGUGAACAGAGAUAUUUUCUCUCUCAUCUCAUUUCUAUCUUGCAUCUCCUGAGUUCCUUCUCCCUUUCCCCUUGCUCUCUCAAAACACACUCACACUACUCUUCAUUCUCGCACAGGCACCCUGGUUUGUUCUUCCUCUCCCCAUUCUCGUAGACCACUUCGCACACAAGCAGCCCCAUGUACUCUUCCUCUCUCAAUUUUUGCAGACCACUUCGGACACCGGCAGCUGUCCAAGCAUUUUCGCGCUUCCCUCCCCCUCUUACUUUCGUCUUCCUCUCUCGAGCACACACAAGCACACACCCAGCCCCUUGUGCGAAGGUGGGUUUUUAAUAUCUCAUUUUGUUUGGAUCUGGCUUCAGUGCUUUCAGACUUUGAUUGCAUUUUACAGACACACACAAAUAGGAGCAUCAUGUUUGAAUUGGUUUUCUCCAUGUAGUCAUCGACUCGUCUACAACCAACCACUCACUCAGUUCUUCCUGCAGGUAGCCACCCUUGGCUGCAAAACCAAUGGCAAGUGCACCGGUCGCAGCGUAGCAAGUGAU